UUUCUUUUUUAUUUUUUUCCUGGCACACCUUAAACAUAAGGGCUGGGUUUGCCGCUAAUCGCAAAUGAGUUGAUUCUGCCAUGGCUUACAUGAUUUACGGUUAAAUAGACUAUAUUGAUAAUGGAGGAAGGAUUUCACUGGCUGCAGUACCAAAAAUAAUCAUCUAUUCUUGUUGCAUAUGAAAUCAUUAGUCAGGGUCAGCCAAUAUCAUAUCCUGUCAUUAGUUAGCUCUAUUACAAUUUCUUUAGGGCUGAUCACAUGUUAUAAUAGCAAUGAAAAAAUUCUUACGUUGCUGCAUUACUGCAUACAAAUCUUUGUUGGCACUUGCUUCAUAGUCUCUGAUGCUGUUCAUAUUGAUUGAUUAGUAUUACUUAUGAUGGCCUUAUGGUCAAGUAGUAAGCAAGCACUAUCAGUGCCUUUGUGGUGACUUCCAUGCUCACCAUGAACCUAGGUUUCACAAUUUCUUUCCAUAGUCGUUUUGUUCUGCCAGUGCCAGAUAUGCUGUUCUGUAUGGAAUGCUGAUCCGACAAUGGUUUCUCUCGUUGUUUUUUCUAAUUACCAGAGCAGGAGCUAGGAGUAAACCAUUCCAUCUCUGUACCUAUCUUUACCUCCUAGCCAUCAUUUGACUUUUCUGACUGUCUACAGUGCUCUACAACAUCAAAACCAUUACUAUAACUAUCCACAAGUGGCAAAUGAUUCUUCUGUUCAAUGAGGAGUUGAUCAAGGUCCAGAUGCUGCUUACCAGCUUCUUACAUCGUUUCUGGAUUCAGGAUCUUAUGUUGGUCCAACAAGUAACACAUAUUAUACUGUUGGUGCUCAUCAGACCAUGCCAGGAUAUGCAACAAGCAAUUACUAUUAUCAUCAAAACAAUGCCUGGUAAUGGAAGUUCUGUGAAUAAUCAUGACCAGUUGUAUCAGAGUUUCACCCCAAAUAGUAAUGUAGCUCAGAGUUGUCGUUCACAUCCUACAAGCUCUGCCCACUACCAGCAGCAGUACAGCCAAUGAGCUAACUAUUAUGAUCAGUCUGCACAGAGUUCAGGUGGCCUUGCAGUUACUAGUAGUGGUAACUGGUAGCUCUGCUCCUGAUACAAGAACUAUUACCAUUGGUUCCAAUUAUGCACACACCAGCAACCAGCCACCUCCACCAGGCACUACAUUAUGGAAGAGAGAUGCUGGUAACACUGCUGCACCUUCGUCACUGGUAAAUCUGUUACUGUCCUGCGUCCUUUCCUUUCCUUUUAAUAUUUAGAGCAAUUAACAAGUGGUCAGACAACUGUCACCUUGAUUAUGUGCAACCCUCGAGAUUCAUGUUCUGUUGCAUAUGCCUUGUUAGGCCUGUCUGGGACACUCUAAGGGGUCGUUUGGCAGAUCUCCCACAGCUCCGCUCAUAGCGAGAAUUACUCCCGCAGAGCCAAAUGGUAAAAAUCUGAACUGCUCCAUGGCGAGAAUUUAUUUUGUACUAUAAAGUGGGAGCAAAAGAACAUGCUUCCCACCGCUUCCAACCUGCUCUCUACUCUCUAACCUCUUAGGAAUCACUUCACAGCCUAUUUGCCAAACAGUUUUUGUCAAAUAGAUUCACUUCUGCUAGAAAAUCAAUUAGAAUCACUCUAUUAGAGAAUCGGCUCUCGGAGCUAGAGAAUCAUGGAGCGGAGCUCUGCCAAACGAGUCCUAAUACUCUUAUGUAACCAGAUUCAUGCUGGAAUUUAUUAUACUUGACUACUUGUGAAACUCUUGUGUUCCAGACAUCCCCUUCGUUUUGGCUAAUAAUAAGAUUCCAGAAUGAGAUUCUACAAAUGAGGUAUGAACCAAACAGGGCCUUAGUGAGGUUGCAGUAUACGCAGACAAACAAAACGAAGCAUACAGAACAAUCCCCCAACCCUAAGGACAAGCUGCGUGGAGGUUCAGGAGCCUUUGCAUGCAAAAGGCGACAAGUAAACUAUUCUUGACUCUAUAAUGGUUUGACACAUACGAAUCUAACACAGAAGGUGACAGAACGAGGCCCCACAUGACAAAUGGCUUCUACAUUUUGUAUUGGAUUUUGUGCCAUAACUCACAACCUCAACAGAAAUUGAUAACGUGAUCUAUAUUGGAUUUUGUGCAUUAUCCAACUUCUCAAAAACCAUAGGGAACCAAACAUCACGUAACCUGGAUUUUGCCACACCAAGGCAAACAUCUAUGGCAUUCUAUUUGCAGCAUAUAUAUUGUGGCCAUGGGCACGCAGCCACUGCUUCAACUCCAGUACCGCCAUCUCCAUCGACUGGGGCAACUGCAACCGUCCCUGGUUUACUAUUGUGUACCUCUGCUGUGGGGAAGAAGGCUCAUAGCCAUGGGGGCGGACCCACUGGCCCAACUCUAGUGCUGUUGUCUCCGUAGAUUGGGGCAACUACAGGCUACAGCCAUCCCUAGCAGCUAGCUUCCAGUCGGGUACUGCUGGCAUGUCCGGUUGGCGGCCAGGUUCCUCCUUCUACAGCCUCGGUUGUAUUCUCUUGGUGGGUUUCUAAGUUAUCAACGGUUUCUAAGUUAUCUACAACCACCAUUUUCUCCAUUGAGUCAAGAUCCUGAACCAUCAUCAGAGGAUUUCUAUUUUGUUGGUAGCAGUCAGAACUUUGGUUCUUUCUCCCCGACACCAGCACCCUUUAGUAAAGGGACUCCACCAGCGAUUUCAGCAGCAGGAUCUAAGAAAAAUGACAUUGAUGACGACAAUGACGUCGAGGUCGACAGGAGUGCCACCCACGAUGAAGUUAGAUUGGCAAGUGCUUGGUUGAAUCAUUCUACCGACCCAAUUGAUGGCUAUGGGCUAUGGCAAGAAGAAUGAUAAAUUCUAGGAUCAAGUUUUUUUUUGAAAGGGAGGGCAAAAGAUUUGCCGCUCCAAUAUAUUAGAAAGGAGAUACACUUACAAGACACGCACUCGAAGACAAAGGGAGGAGAAAAGAAAGAAGAAGGACAAAAACAACCGUCUACUGAGCCUAAUCACAACUCCGAAACUACCUGGCACAAACUAACUCAAGAAAGCACCCACUAGCUCUUUCACUAAAGAAGCGAUCUGCUUUGCAUUUUUCUGCUGGUUCCUGAAGAUCCUGUUGUUUCUCUCUAACCAUAGGCUCCACCAAAAAUAGAUCAGAAGACCAUCGAAAUUUCUUCUAGAUUGCCUAUUACAGAGACCUCUUAUAUUUCUCCACCAACCAUACAACGACACGGAAGCCUGGAUUCCUCUCAGGAAGGAACAGUUCCCCAAUGUCAAUAUUUUAUCCCACACCUCUCUACUGAAAGGAUAAUCUUUGCAUAAAUAAGAUACCGUCUCCAACGCUGAGUUACAAAGACAGCAAACUAGGUUGCACUGUCAAUGUUUCUUCUGCAGGUUGUUAGCAGUCAGCACCACUUUAUUAUGUAAAAGAGUCCACGCAAAAAAAAUGUUAAUUCUAGGAUCAAGUUACAGAUGA
Molecule: long non-coding RNA, 3439 nt
Organism: Zea mays
Lineage: Eukaryota; Viridiplantae; Streptophyta; Magnoliopsida; Poales; Poaceae
Exons: 4
Source: RefSeq, a predicted model, not a curated record